GCCUUUGGAUGUUUGGGAUACCUGCAAAAUCUCUUCUUAAUUUUUGAUACUCAAGCCAGAAAAGUAGCAACCCAAGAGGGUGAAUUGGGUUCUUUCAAAAAUUUCAACUAAAUAAAUAUUUAAACAAAUAUGUGAUUUAAAUUAAACUAAUUUUUGUAUUUAUGAAGUGUAAGCCAUAUAUAGCAGUGGAAUAAGUAAAACUAUAUAAGAAUUAAAAUGAAAUAAGGCAAGUGAAA
This 236-nucleotide long non-coding RNA is filed under the name Elaeis guineensis (African oil palm). RNAcentral's name for it is "long non-coding RNA (EGUI_LNC060343)". Lineage: Eukaryota; Viridiplantae; Streptophyta; Magnoliopsida; Arecales; Arecaceae. The record is from RNAcentral.